GAGCGCGCGGCUGGGGAAGAAGCUGGCGGGAAGCCGGGCCGCGCGCCGAGGAAUCGAUGAUUCGGCCUGUGGGCCGGGUCACUGCGGCGGGGCCCGGGGAGCGCCGAUAGCAUGGAUAGGCUCAGAGGGGCGCAGGGUUUUGGCGGCUUCCCGAGUUCCCCUCGCCGACCGCCAUGUCACAUCUUACGGAAGAGGCGGGGGCUGCCGCGGAGAGGAUAUUUUUUGUUUUGUUUUGUUUUCACAAGCACACAUCCUCAGAUUUUUGGAACAUACUUACAUCUCGAAGAUAGCGCUCCAUCCAUUUAAUGAUAUCAAUACCCCGGAUUCUAUCCUCAAAUAUGUCAAUCUACAAGAAAAGGAUGCGCAAAAGAGCUCUUAAUGAGAGCUUUCUCCGAGUGCAGACCUCAAGAAAACACAAGAUCCUACAUACAUGUGCAACCCUAAAAGUAGUGCUCUCAAUAAGGAGGAACACGUGAGACCAAACAGAGAAGCAAAGAGUGUGGAAUGCAUCAGUUAAAAUCUCAAGAAACCCCGAGGCAGAGGAUUAAGAGAUACUGAAGAGAAGAUGAGUCUGUGUGCAUUUAUCUGUGCUUAGCCUGCUCCGAAUGGGAACUCAGCUCUCAAAUGAAGACAAGACUGCUCACUCCUGCAGAAAAUGACCUUGUUCUUGAGAGCUGCUGCUAAUUUACAGUGAGGCACUAGGUUUCUACCCAGUGCCACGUGAGCAACCAAUCCAUCUACCCAGGGGCACGGCACUGACGAGCAGCAUCAUUUAGAAGGAAAGAAGUAUGGGUGGUGUUUGUUGUUUCCUGUGUGUUAAGGAAAAUCCAGUGAUGCACCAAGACUCAACACCUAGACCCACGAGAGUAGAUGCUCAGGAAAGAUUUGCUGACUGAACACAUGAUUGUGUCUACGCCUAGCAGUACUUUGUUGCGGGAUGGGCCCUGGCAGGGUUGGUAAAGCCCUCAUUUGUAGACAUGGAACCUCCCAGCUCCAGCCCUGCUAAGAACUGACAGAACUUGGCUAGCUCCAUGUUUUGUUCACGUGACUCUCAACCUGGUGUGGCCUGGACUCUAGUCCCUGCCUCAAGGAAAGUCCAGACUGACAUAGAAAAUCCCUGCUCACCAGCCUUGACCUUGGGAGAAAGCCCCUGACCUGUGAGUGGACAGAAGGCCUGGUGGUCAGCCCGUGGGAGCCCUGGAGCGUGCACUGCUGGAGCAGCUCAGAAAAAGCUGAGAAGCCAAGACUUGACUGUCAGUCCUGGAGAAUUAGAACAUGCCUGCUAAAUUUCAGUCCACUCUGAGGAAGGGGCAGUGCCCACAAGGAAACCUAGUGGGUGGGGUUCUGGCUGGGACUCAUCUGGAGUUCCCAGGGCAGAUGCCCGGCCCCAGCUUAUAGACCAUGAUGCGGCUGGGCUUCCGUGUCUGAUUCUUAAGUGCCUCAGGUAAACAGACUCUCCUUUGCUUUGCCAGGAGGAAUGACAUUACUAUCAGCAUUGUAAAAGUCUGUGGCCUUUGGGAGAGUAAUUUUACUUCUAAGACUCUCCUCUACAGAGAAGUGUGCACACUGUUCCCAGUGGAGUCUAUAAAGAUAGCAAAGAGCAAAGACUUAAAACAGAA
RNAcentral lists this long non-coding RNA (1619 nucleotides) under Mus musculus (house mouse). Its description in RNAcentral is "RIKEN cDNA E130307A14 gene". The record is from RNAcentral. Lineage: Eukaryota; Metazoa; Chordata; Mammalia; Rodentia; Muridae.